GUAACAUAUUUUCUGUUUUAUUUUAGGUCCAUCAUUAAAUCUGAACCAGACAGAUCUGAAUUUGUUCUUCAGCUGGGCACAGCAACCCAGAGAGACAUCAUGGUUACCGAGGGUCACUGAUGCUUGAAGAUCUCUUCAAACAAGAACAAAGAAGCCAAGAAUCAGUGGACGUGGUGUCCUGGUACUUUUGCUCUGGAACUUCUGAUACUCACCCAGUGGCUCCUCAUCUCUUCAGAUGUCACACACACUGUGGCAGUUGUGUCCUGGUUUCAGCUAGCAUAAAGUUAAUUUUCUUCGGUGGCUGGUAUGGUUCUGUGUUUUCGAUUUAGGAUGAAAAUAAUGCUGAUAACACACCAACAUUUUAGUUGUUGCUGAGCAAUGCUUACACAGAGCCAAGGAUUUUCCUGCUUCUUGUGUUGCCCUGCCAGUGAGGAGGCUGGGGGCGCACCACAAGCUGAUUUGCUCCUGGUAAUUAGGUAGUUCACUAAAAUAAUAUCUUUCUAAAUUUAUAUCAAUAAUAUCAUUUCAGUGCAUACAUUUUUAAAAGACUGUGAAAAAAAAAAAGGAAAAAAAAAGAAAAAGUUUACAAUGAAGUCUUUUGGCCAAAAAUGCAAUCUGUAGGGCAAUGCACAACAAGGUUGUUUUGCUAUGCAGGGAAGGUCUGAUAAUUUAGAUGCAUGACUUGUUUUAAACCUCAUAGAGUAAUAUUUGUUGUGAGUUACCUGAGUAAAUCUGUGUUUAAUCCCUUGGUGAUGACAGUCAGAAUUUCUCAACUCUAAGCUUUGUGUGUUAACACUUAGCAUUUGGAAAUCCUGAUUAGCAGCACAGGUAGUCAGAGGAGUAGAACCAAACAAUAGAUGAGGUUUCUGUGGAAAGCUGUUCAUAGCAGACAGCUAAAUAAAUAAAACAAGCUUCCUUCA
Molecule: long non-coding RNA, 920 nt
Filed under: Anser brachyrhynchus (Pink-footed goose)
Lineage: Eukaryota; Metazoa; Chordata; Aves; Anseriformes; Anatidae
Description: lncRNA (ENSABRG00000011028.1)
Source: RNAcentral